UACAUGGUUAAUGAAAACUCUCUUCCAUGAAAUUUAGCUGCUUUUUGUUUGUACUGUGAAACUGCGAAUGGCUCAUUAAAUCAGUUAUAGUUUAUUUGAUGAUACCUUGCUACAUGGAUAACUGUGGUAAUUCUAGAGCUAAUACAUGCAUUCAAGCCCCAACUUCUGGAAGGGGUGUAUUUAUUAGAUAAACGGGUCUUAUAAUUGGAAUGAGUACAAUUUAAAUACCUUAACGAGGAACAAUUGGAGGGCAAGUCUGGUGCCAGCAGCCGCGGUAAUUCCAGCUCCAAUAGCGUAUGUGUACUGUCUGACUGAGUCUUACCUCUUGGUGAGCCGGCGUGCCCUUUAUUGGUGUGCGUCGGGGAACCAGGACUUUUACCUUGAGAAAAUUAGAGUGUUCAAAGCAGGCCCUAUGCCUGAAUACAUUAGCAUGGAAUAAUAAAAUAGGACGUGCGGUUCUAUUUUGUUGGUUUCUAGAGUCGCCGUAAUGAUUAAUAGGGAUAGUUGGGGGCAUUGGUAUUGAGUCGCUAGAGGUGAAAUUCUUGGAUUGACUCAAGACCGACUACUGCGAAAGCAUUUGCCAGGAUGUUUCUCAAUUAAUCAAGAAACAGAAGGUUAGAAGAUCGAAAAUCCACGGAUCAGGA
RNAcentral lists this non-coding RNA (644 nucleotides) under Lentinula edodes (shiitake mushroom). RNAcentral's name for it is "Eukaryotic small subunit ribosomal RNA". It matches the Rfam family "Eukaryotic small subunit ribosomal RNA", at positions 1 to 1018 of the family's 1831-position model. Lineage: Eukaryota; Fungi; Basidiomycota; Agaricomycetes; Agaricales; Omphalotaceae. The record is from Rfam by way of RNAcentral.